AAAAAAAAAUUUGUAAUUUAAUUCUUGUGUUACUUGAUUUUCGUUCCAUCAUAGAGUAAGCACCAGGCAGGGCAAAUAAACUUUAGCCUUUGGUCUCUGGGUCGCUGCGUCGCUAUUCGCCAAUCCAAACAAUGAAGGUGCAAGGCGGUGGUGAGUGGUGACAGCGGCUCAGCUGGCUGCCGUGGGACAUACUUCGCUACUCCUCUUCUGGCUAGAUGGAAAUUUCAGCGAGGGGAACACAGGCAGGACAGCGGAGGACCUGGACAUGAUGAUGAGGUCUUGUAGUGAACCAGCAUGGUGCUGGGGCCUGGCCAGACUGAUGGAUCCCAUAAUUACAGUGCCCUCAUUGGCUGCCUAGCACUUGAUGGGAUGGACAAUACUUCCUUCUCAAUACAUCAUGUAUUGUAUGAUGGACAAUACCUCCUUCCACUCAACACAUCAUGUAUCGUAUGAUGUUCUGCAACAUUAACUCUAUCUAACAUACAUUCAAUCAGCCCCAAGUUGUGGUCUCACAUCACCACCUUCAAUGCCCAACAAGAGCAAGGAUGACUAGGGAAAUGUGGAGCUGUUGUCUCAGGUGUCCAGUGCUGGGGGGAAUUGUACAACAGUGCCACAGGUUUCCUGCCACAGAUAAAACUGUGUGGGUGUUGUCAGACACAUUCCUUUUGGCAUGGUUGGCUUAGCUGGUAUCAUGGCUGCUCCACACUUGCAGUUGCCCCCUCCUCCAGACGGUGAUCCACAUGAGUAGAACUGCCGCACUGCACCUUAUUCCCCGACUGUGCUUCUGGUGUGUUCCUCACUGCUUCAUUCUGGUCCUCAGGAGCACCAGCCAGUUGAACCACACUACUUCCAACAACGCUUGCUGCACUCUUGUUAUCAGGGGUAGUGGCCAACUGAUUUCUUUCUUUCACAAUUAACUUGUGCCAGAAGUACGCUAUUUUGCCUUCUUUAGCUUUGCGUAGUAGUGGAAUCUGUUCCUUGACAAGCUCCUGUGAAGCUAGGUACAGAUCCUUCCUUGCAUUUCUUGUAACCACUUGGAUUUGGGUGGUUUUGAAUGAAACAACUACUGUAUUAGCCACAUAAUAUAGUUUUAGGCUUUCUGAUUAAAACAAUCCAUUCAGAAAUGGUAAUUUUAUUUUGAAGUUUGGUCAUAAUCAUACAAAUGGAUGCAAAACGACCCAAAAUACUGAAAAAAAAAUUAUUCAGCUUGGAUAUUUAGUCCUUUAUCAGCCAUUUCCAGUGUUCUGCUUCAAUCCCAAAAAUACAGUAAUAUUAAGUCUCUCUCUCUCUCUCUCUCUCUCUCUCUCUCUCUCUCUCUCUCUCUCUCUCUCUCUCUCUCUCUCUCUCUCUCUCU
This 1354-nucleotide long non-coding RNA is filed under the name Portunus trituberculatus (swimming crab). RNAcentral's name for it is "uncharacterized LOC123511442, transcript variant X8". Lineage: Eukaryota; Metazoa; Arthropoda; Malacostraca; Decapoda; Portunidae. The record is from RNAcentral.